RNAcentral lists this ribosomal RNA (385 nucleotides) under uncultured bacterium. RNAcentral's name for it is "bacterial SSU rRNA". It matches the Rfam family "Bacterial small subunit ribosomal RNA", at positions 30 to 417 of the family's 1533-position model. The record is from RNAcentral.
AUUAAACGCUGGCGGCAUGCCUUACACAUGCAAGUCGAACGGUAGCGCGGGGCAACCUGGCGACGAGUGGCGAACGGGUGAGUAAAGCAUCGGAACGUGCCCUGGAAUGGGGGAUAACGUAGCGAAAGUUACGCUAAUACCGCAUAUUCUGUGAGCAGGAAAGCAGGGGAUCGCAAGACCUUGCGUUCUGGGAGCGGCCGAUGUCGGAUUAGCUAGUUGGUGGGGUAAAAGCCUACCAAGGCGACGAUCCGUAGCGGGUCUGAGAGGAUGAUCCGCCACACUGGGACUGAGACACGGCCCAGACUCCUACGGGAGGCAGCAGUGGGGAAUUUUGGACAAUUGGCGGAAGCCUGAUCCAGCCAUGCCGCGUGAGUGAAGAAGGCCU